RNAcentral lists this ribosomal RNA (164 nucleotides) under uncultured bacterium. RNAcentral's name for it is "partial 16S ribosomal RNA". It matches the Rfam family "Bacterial small subunit ribosomal RNA", at positions 355 to 511 of the family's 1533-position model. The record is from RNAcentral.
UAGGGAAUCUUCCACAAUGGACGAAAGUCUGAUGGAGCAACGCCGCGUGAGUGAAGAAGGGUUUCGGCUCGUAAAACUCUGUUGUUAAAGAAGAACAUAUCUGAGAGUAACUGUUUAGGUAUUGACGGUAUUUAACCAGAAAGCCACGGCUAACUACGUGCCAG